Molecule: ribosomal RNA, 473 nt
Filed under: uncultured bacterium
Lineage: Bacteria
Description: bacterial SSU rRNA
Rfam family: Bacterial small subunit ribosomal RNA
Source: RNAcentral
ACUCCUACGGGAGGCAGCAGUGGGGAAUAUUGCACAAUGGGCGCAAGCCUGAUGCAGCCAUGCCGCGUGUGUGAAGAAGGCCUUCGGGUUGUAAAGCACUUUCAGUCGUGAGGAAGGUAGUGUAGUUAAUAGCUGCAUUAUUUGUACGUUAGCGACAGAAGAAGCACCGGUUAACUCCGUGCCAGCAGCCGCGGUAAUACGGAGGGUGCGAGCGUUAAUCGGAAUUACUGGGCGUAAAGCGCAUGCAGGUGGUUUGUUAAGUCAGAUGUGAAAGCCCGGGGCUCAACCUCGGAAUUGCAUUUGAAACUGGCAGACUAGAGUACUGUAGAGGGGGUAGAAUUUCAGGUGUAGCGGUGAAAUGCGUAGAGAUCUGAAGGAAUACCGGUGGCGAAGGCGGCCCCUGGACAGAUACUGACACUCAGAUGCGAAAGCGUGGGAGCAAACAGGAUUAGAUACCCCGUGGUAGCGACUGA